AAAUGCACCAUAUAUUAAAUUAUACAAUACAAUGUGUCAAUUACACCUUAAUAAUAUUAUUAGUUUAUAGAGAAAUUGAAAUAUUUUAUGAAUAGUGUAUACUCGCCUAACUGCAAUUAGAAAUUUAACAUUCCCUUAAAACCACUAGUUACUUUUCAUCUUUACACAAUUACACUUAAAAUUCCACUGAGAGAAACUUUUGAGGUGCUCGCAAUGUAUAUAUCAUUAUCCAUUGAAUUCUUACUGCAUAUAUCUUACCUUUCAAUCAAUCACAUAAUAAUCAAUGUACAUAUUGUAAGAAUUCAAUAAGGUAGCAUUUAUUUUUUGAAUUGGAGUGUGAAUACUAAGGAGUGAGAAUUUUAGGAUUAGGAGUAUGGAGUGGGAGUGAGAGUGAGAGUAGGUUGUUUACUUACAUUGAAAUAGAAGUAUGAAAUGGAAAUCAAAAUUCAAUUUAUGUGUUUACAAUUUUAUCAUUAUUUAAAGAAUUGUAGUUUUUAAUUACAAAAUAAUAAAAAAUAUAUU
This 522-nucleotide long non-coding RNA is filed under the name Citrus x clementina. RNAcentral's name for it is "Citrus clementina (C. clementina) long non-coding RNA (CCLE_LNC003900)". The record is from RNAcentral. Lineage: Eukaryota; Viridiplantae; Streptophyta; Magnoliopsida; Sapindales; Rutaceae.